RNAcentral lists this ribosomal RNA (465 nucleotides) under uncultured bacterium. RNAcentral's name for it is "partial 16S ribosomal RNA". It matches the Rfam family "Bacterial small subunit ribosomal RNA", at positions 28 to 507 of the family's 1533-position model. The record is from RNAcentral.
GACGAACGCUGGCGGCGUGCUUAACACAUGCAAGUCGAACGGAAAGACCCUGCUUUCGGUGUACUCGCGUGACCAACGGGUGAGUAACACAUGGGUGGUCUGCCCUGCACUUCGGGUUAAACCAGGUCAACUGAGUCUAAUACCUAAUGGGAGACAUUUUUAGUGUGAUGGUUGGAUAGUUUUUUCGGUUUAGGAUGAGCUGGCGGCGUAUCAGCUUGUUGGUGGGGUAAUGGGCUACCGAGACGGCGGCGGGAGGCCGGACUGAGUGGGUGGACGGCCAUACUGGGACCGAGAGGCGGCACAGACACCGACUGUAGGCAGCAGGGCGGAAGCUUGCACAAGCGGCGCAAGCUGGGUGCAGAGACGCUGCGUGGCGGAUGACGCUCUUCGGGUUGUAAACCACUUGCGCUAGUGACGAAGCUCUUUGUGACGGUACCUAGAUAAGAAGCACCGGCUAACUACGUG